AAGUCCACAAAGGGAAAGAGUGAAGCUGCCAGCAUGAUCUACCUUUGGGCUAGUUAAUUUUGUAGCGGUUAACCCAAGCUAGGUCAUGCUGUGACAGCCUCAUUCUUUCCCCACUUUUGUGGAUCUU
Molecule: microRNA precursor, 127 nt
Filed under: Linum usitatissimum (flax)
Lineage: Eukaryota; Viridiplantae; Streptophyta; Magnoliopsida; Malpighiales; Linaceae
Description: miR167c stem-loop (lus-MIR167c)
Gene: lus-MIR167c
Rfam family: MIR167 microRNA precursor family (bases 8-114)
Source: miRBase by way of RNAcentral